GACUCUGGGAUAAGCGCUGGGAACGGCGUCUAAUACCGGAUACGAGCUGCGAAGGCAUCUUCAGCAGCUGGAAAGAAUUUCGGUCAGGGAUGAGCUCGCGGCCUAUCAGCUUGUUGGUGAGGUAAUGGCUCACCAAGGCGUCGACGGGUAGCCGGCCUGAGAGGGUGACCGGCCACACUGGGACUGAGACACGGCCCAGACUCCUACGGGAGGCAGCAGUGGGGAAUAUUGCACAAUGGGCGAAAGCCUGAUGCAGCAACGCCGCGUGAGGGAUGACGGCCUUCGGGUUGUAAACCUCUUUUAGCAAGGAAGAAGCGAAAGUGACGGUACUUGCAGAAAAAGCGCCGGCUAACUACGUGCCAGCAGCCGCGGUAAUACGUAGGGCGCAAGCGUUAUCCGGAAUUAUUGGGCGUAAAGAGCUCGUAGGCGGUCUGUCGCGUCUGCUGUGAAAACCCGAGGCUCAACCUCGGGCCUGCAGUGGGUACGGGCAGACUAGAGUGCGGUAGGGGAGAUUGGAAUUCCUGGUGUAGCGGUGGAAUGCGCAGAUAUCAGGAGGAACACCGAUGGCGAAGGCAGAUCUCUGGGCCGUAACUGACGCUGAGGAGCGAAAGGGUGGGGAGCAAACAGGCUUAGAUACCCUGGUAGUCCACCCCGUAAACGUUGGGAACUAGUUGUGGGGUCCAUUCCACGGAUUCCGUGACGCAGCUAACGCA
Molecule: ribosomal RNA, 713 nt
Filed under: uncultured bacterium
Lineage: Bacteria
Description: bacterial SSU rRNA
Rfam family: Bacterial small subunit ribosomal RNA
Source: RNAcentral